Molecule: long non-coding RNA, 1469 nt
Filed under: Homo sapiens (human)
Lineage: Eukaryota; Metazoa; Chordata; Mammalia; Primates; Hominidae
Description: HSALNT0350592
Source: RNAcentral
AGCGCUGAGGAGGGCACAGGGGACAUGCCUGACUCCGUCUGGGUGCCAGGCCCAGAGCCGGGCAUUUCCCAUAGUCAUCGGCCCCCUGCCCGCCCCCAGCAUGUCGAGGAAGGGAGGAGUAUUUUUAGUUCCAUCUUGAAGACGGGCACAGGAACGGAGAAUAACUGCCUGAAAGCACUGUCCCUGGUCUGAGCGGCCCUUGGAAAGGCUCAGCCUGGCCCAGGCCUUGCUGCUUCCCAUAACAGUUACAAGCACUGGCUCUGCCAUCGGAGAUGAAAGGGUACACGUGGGGUUCUCCGACCUUCCAGCCGUGUGACCUCGGACUGUGAGUGGACCUCUGGGCCUUGGUUUCUGAGUCUUAGCUACCUCAUAAGGGGGUGGUUGGGAUGAAAUGAGUUAAUCCAUAGAAAGUGCUCAACCAGGGCCCAGUCAAUGCUGGCCAUGCUGUUGUGCUCUGGGCCCCAAGAUGGGGGUGGGCUGAGGGCAAAGGCCGCCUUCCUGCCAGCACCUGGACACUCAGCCCCCGACUGCCAGCAGGCGCCCAGGCUCUUUCUUGGCUGAGCUGAGCAGCUAUCUUAGGUCGUAAUCCAGCUGCAUUUGACUCCUGUUCUCUUUUUGUCUAACUUCCCGCGGGGAGCAGAGACCUCUGUUUGCUUAGCUCCCUCCACUUGCCUUCCUCGAAUGUGGGAACCCCGGACUCUGUCUUGGAAAAGACCUGGCCUCUCCUUCUCUGGGUUGGGUCCAUCCGUGGGCUCCCGCAGAGGCCUGUGGUUGCAGAGACCGGAAGCUGCAGCUUCAGGAGGGUAAGUGACUGUGCCCAGGAGCCGCACUGAGCAGCAGCGGGCUCCGCAGGGCCUCCAGGCUCCCCCGGGCAUCAGUGCGUGCUGCCACCUCCCCCUUCUCUGUGAGCUGGCACUGUGAGGCUGAGGGGCACAGGCUGGGGCAGGAAUCUCGGUUCUUCCCAGCUCUGUGAGAACUGGGAGAUGCUCGAGAACUAUCCCAUCCCCGGAUCUCAGUUCCCCCAUUGUAACGGGGCAGCUGGACUCAGGGAUGUCCAGUCCCCAUGCUGGAUCCCACCUUCAUCUCCCUGUGUGAGAUGGGGGUGGUGUCCUGUGCCCCAUCCCUAUCCCUGGGCCUGAAUUCCCAGCUGCUGUACUGGUGCCCGGGUCCCUGGGUCCCUCCCACCCUGAGCCGCCUCCAGACCAAGCUAUUGUCUCGGAUCCAAGCAGCCAGGCUGGCUGGGCCUGGAGCGGGACGGGAGGACUGCGGGAUUGCUGAGCCAGGAGGGGAACAGAGCACCUGCUUCCCUGUGACUGCCUCUUGGAGCGCUAAUCAUGGAGUUGUCCCAGAGCAGGGCUCCUCACUGAGCCCUUCAAUAUCUGAUCUGUCAUGGAAGAAAAAUGUUGCGUUUUGUGUCUGAGACCUUUCCUUGAUCCCAUCUUGCAAAAGAGAAAGAAAGAAAAAAGAAA